AGAUUGAACGCUAGCGGGAUGCUUUACACAUGCAAGUCGAACGGCAGCGCGGACUUCGGUCUGGCGGCGAGUGGCGAACGGGUGAGUAAUAUAUCGGAACGUGCCCAGUAGCGGGGGAUAACUACGCGAAAGCGUGGCUAAUACCGCAUACGCCCGUACGGGGGGAAAGGGGGGAUUCUUCGGAACCUCUCACUAUUGGAGCGGCCGAUAUCAGAUUAGCUAGUUGGUGAGGUAAAGGCUACACCAAGGCCGCGAUCUGUAGCUGGUUGAGAGGACGACCACGCCACACUGGGACUGGAGACCACGGCCCAGACCUCCGUACGGGAGCAGCAGGU
RNAcentral lists this ribosomal RNA (335 nucleotides) under uncultured soil bacterium. Its description in RNAcentral is "bacterial SSU rRNA". It matches the Rfam family "Bacterial small subunit ribosomal RNA", at positions 26 to 355 of the family's 1533-position model. The record is from RNAcentral.